GGGGUUGUUUAGACUCGACAGGGCGUACUUUCAAAAUAGGCAAGCCGAUCUUGAGAACAUGAUCGUAAAAAUCGUUCUCACGAUGAUAAAUGCAAACUUCAUCACCAAGGCAAAGAAUGCGAUCGCGCAAGCUUUCGCACCAACUUUCGCUCUUGCUCUCGCCUAAUUGUCCUUCGCUCUUCGGGGCAAAGAAACAUUGGCGUUGAGCCAUCAGAAUCCUGAUUCUCGGUAGGGAACCUCUGGUGUCAUAUAAUCGAGACGGCCGAAGAAUUUCUUUUUCUUUCUUCUUCCCAGCCGUAUUGCGAAAGAAAUGAAUGAAAGAAGAUUUUGUCUGCUUUUUACUUCUUUCAUUACACAAAGCACUCUAAGCUUGUAGAAUAUUUUGGGAAAAUGUUUCUGGACAUGGGUGCAAUUCCCAUCAACUCCACUU
RNAcentral lists this transfer-messenger RNA (430 nucleotides) under bacterium. It matches the Rfam family "transfer-messenger RNA". From Rfam's summary of the family: Bacterial tmRNA, also known as 10Sa RNA or SsrA, is named for its dual tRNA and mRNA-like properties. Its role is to liberate the mRNA from a stalled ribosome. The record is from RNAcentral.